RNAcentral lists this ribosomal RNA (237 nucleotides) under Limosilactobacillus albertensis. Its description in RNAcentral is "Limosilactobacillus sp. Lr3000 partial 23S ribosomal RNA". It matches the Rfam family "Bacterial large subunit ribosomal RNA", at positions 74 to 310 of the family's 2925-position model. The record is from RNAcentral. Lineage: Bacteria; Bacillati; Bacillota; Bacilli; Lactobacillales; Lactobacillaceae.
UGCUUCGGGGAGCGGUAAGUACGCUUUGAUCCGGAGAUUUCCGAAUGGGGCAACCCAAUCAGCUUAGUCGCUGAUUACUUGACUAGUGAAUACAUAGCUGGCAAGAGGUAGACGCAGUUAACUGAAACAUCUUAGUAGCUGCAGGAAGAGAAAGAAACAUCGAUUCCCCGAGUAGCGGCGAGCGAAAAGGGAAGAGCCCAAACCAACAAGCUUGCUUGUUGGGGUUGUAGGACUGAA